UCGGAAGCCAAGCAGGGUCGGGCCUGGUUAGUACUUGGACGGGAGACCGCCCGGGAAUACCAGGUGCUGUAAGCUU
RNAcentral lists this ribosomal RNA (76 nucleotides) under Thunnus obesus (bigeye tuna). The record is from RNAcentral. Lineage: Eukaryota; Metazoa; Chordata; Actinopteri; Scombriformes; Scombridae.